UAAACCUGCCUCUUAGCGGGGGGUAACUAUUGGAAACGAUAGCUAAUACCGCAUAAAAGUCGACAUUGCAUGAUGUUGACUUGAAAGGUGCAACUGCAUCACUAAGAGAUGGACCUGCGUUGUAUUAGCUAGUUGGUGAGGUAACGGCUCACCAAGGCGACGAUACAUAGCCGACCUGAGAGGGUGAUCGGCCACACUGGGACUGAGACACGGCCCAG
RNAcentral lists this ribosomal RNA (218 nucleotides) under uncultured bacterium. RNAcentral describes it as "partial 16S ribosomal RNA". It matches the Rfam family "Bacterial small subunit ribosomal RNA", at positions 122 to 334 of the family's 1533-position model. The record is from RNAcentral.